This 1969-nucleotide long non-coding RNA is filed under the name Cotesia glomerata. RNAcentral describes it as "uncharacterized LOC123265753, transcript variant X1". The record is from RNAcentral. Lineage: Eukaryota; Metazoa; Arthropoda; Insecta; Hymenoptera; Braconidae.
UAAAUUAUAUAAAAAUAAUUGAAUUAUAUAAAAAUGAAAAGAAACAAAUGAAAUUAUUUUUCGCAAUUAAACAGCUGAUCGUUAUUUCACAGUGAGUAGUCAUCGCUUAUCGACUCAGCGCCCAACAGUCUACUAUUUAUUUAGUUAAUUAACUUAUCAAUUAAAGCGUCACUAAAAGUGUCACUACUGUGCAUUGGAAACGAUAUUGAGUAUUUCAGGAAUGGAGAUACGGAUCCUGGUAACAAAGAUUACCGGAAUGUGAUUAACAUCCUAAACCCAAAACAAUACAAUGUUGAUUGAUGAGAUUGGAGCCGAUUAUCGGAAGAUUAGAAAUAGAAGCUCUCUAGUAUAGCAUUAUAGGUGUUUAAUGCAAGCAUUGACAUGCUCAUGUUCCGGAUUAGCCUCAUCAUUCACCAAUACCCACUCAACUUGCUGUAAUCGGAUAUACAUUCAUCAUUCAUUCCGGAUUUAUAUUUGUAUUUAUAUCCGCAACACACAGACAACCAUCUGCACUCAAGAUCUUUUCCGUUCCAUCAACAAAGUCCAUUUUUAAGUAAAAAAUAAAAAAAAAAAAACAGUCAAGAGUGUCCUUUAAGCCGGUGAUCUCUACUCUGCAAAUCCUCUGCAUAUUAUUCAGCAAUAAGCAUUGCUUUCUGUGCUAAGAUCUCACGUUUCAGAUGUUGAACUAUCCUGACAGUAAAUUGACACUAGACACUGUUUGCAAGUAUUUUUAGCUGGAAGUCUUUAAUUUUUGAGAGGCAAACUUUUGAGCCAGCACUAAUCCGGCUGAAGAAUUAAUGAUCUCCGGGCUUUGGAGCUCGAAGGGAGCCAUCAUGUGUUAUUGUAUUACGACACUGGAUAAUGUAAGACGUCUGGUUGAUAAAUCUUUCUAUUUUAUCACUGAAAUGUCCAAAUACGAGCAACAUUUGCGGUUUUAUGUCUCAUAAUAUUUAAGGCUGUAUCUACAUCAUCACGUCUUGUAACUUUCAAAUUCAACUUUUGUGAUAGUGCCAUCAAUUUGUUGCCCGAAGAAUUUCAAUUUCAUGCAUAAAAAUGUUUUGAAUGUUGGAGAAGCGAUGCAGGGCGAAAGUCUGACGUUUAGGGGUUGAGACAUACACUGAGCUGAUGUUAAGGACCCGGGAGGUCCUUCAAGUAACUAUAUUACUCAAUACAAUCCAAUUUUACUUAGCCGUGAAUCGAAUUUCAGAAAAACACUCAUACGCUUGGAAUUUUGUUUUAAGUAUUUAGAAAAAUUUUUAGCCAAAAAAAAAAAAAAAAAAAAUAAAGAGAUGAUUCAGUUAUAAAAAAACAUGAACUUCACAGAGGACGAAGGAGGAUGUGAUAAAAGCAGCGGCGGGUGUAAAUCUCGGUGAUAAUCCUUUGUGAGUACACAAUAUACUUAAUAUCGUCGGAUUUGUUAUUCUUCCUUCAAUAUAUUUUAUGUCCUGAUUGAUCAACGAGCAGACUCUCGAGUAGAGUGAAAGCAGUCCAGGUACAUAGAUAGAGAUACAUAUACAGUAGAGAGUUGAGAGAAUACUAUACACAGCAACAGCAACACACGGUAGAAGGUCGAGCCGCCGGUGCGAACCGUUGACUGAACCACUGGCUAAGAGUUAGGGGUGGCGAGCUAUACCACACACGUUAUACUCGACUCUACCCACUACACCGUUAACUCAACCUGCUGCUCCGCUGUGUGCUGCGCGAUCCUACGAUUCUGCGCGCUUAUGUUUUCUUUAAACUCCAUACAUCUAUCAUUUAUAGAUAUAUUUAUAUUUACAUUUAUAUGUGUCUAUAAAUAUUCUACGGACUUUUUUUAUAGGUUUCUGUCAGUCAGAGUUCCCUCUGCAUCGCGAUCUUCACACUGAGCUGCUUCGUGAUCAAGAAAAGGGAUCAAGAAUUCACGAUUAGAAGAUCCUUAAUACCUUCGAUCAAUCUUUGACAGUCUACUGAACUUUUGGAUAAGAAAUUU